GUCACUCGCUUGCUCGCUCGCCCGCUCGCUAGCUCGUUCGCUCGCUGUGGGAGGAGCCCGCCAGAGGAAGCCGUGUGCCUGGGAUGCCAAGAACCAGAGAAUGGAUCUGCUCCGAGUGGGCACAUUGCUAAGGAUCCCGGCUUCCCGAGGCGACUGAAAACAAGCAUUUGGUUUCGGCUGCCUGCAGAUACCCGGAGACACAACGAGACCUAAGCGGACCAGAGGAGGGACAGACCGACUGACAGAUAGAUGGUCGGCGCGAACCCUGGAGGACCGGCGGCGGAGGCUGAGCACCGCGAGCCCAGCCGCCGCGCUUGAAGAGAAACUAACUGCACACCCAAGUUGCCCGCCGGCUGCCCGCGCGCUGAGGAAUGAGACCUUUCCAGCUGGAUUUGCUCUUCCUCUGCUUCUUCCUCUUCAGUCAAGGUAGGAACCCGGCGCGCCGGAGUUGGAGCAAAGUCGGCGGCGGCGGCGGCGGCGGCAGCGGAGGGCGCGGGUGGCUGAGGGCUGAGGGCUGAGAGCUGGGAGGUGGACAGGCUCGGGAACUCGUACUAGCUGAGGGUCUUGGUGCCGGCCCAUUGGCAGUUAAGUAGCAUUGCUUCUUUGCAUUUGCAAAUGCUACAAAAUGGAACUGUGGGUUUCCCUUCGGAAGGAAGGGGCUGGGAGAACAGGGGAGGCUGCACUUUCUCGUCUUUCUUGUCCACGUCCAACUCCAACUCUCCGAUGCAUGUAAGUUCUUUAUGCACCCGGUAUAUUAAUUAGGUAACAUCCGUGUGGCUAGGCCAUUCGGAACUUCUGGGUGCCUGCUCGCCUUUCUAGCCAGGUUGGAAAAGGGGAGCCUGGCGUAGGUGGAGAUUUCAGUUUCAGUAAGGUCUAACUUGCCCGGGUGUGUUUAAAGCAAAUGUGCGAGGUCUGCACAGUUGCAGAAAGGGAUGCGAUUAGGGAAGGUUCUGAGGCGGGUAUUUACAGUGGCUGGGGAAAAGAACGCUUGUAAAGAGUUACAUUGAAUGUCACCCAUUUCCCUGAGCAAGGCUGAAUUCUGAAUCCUACCAAGCACUGGAUUAGGUGUAUGAAAUGGAAUUUCGCCCCUGGUGCCGAUUGCUUCCUUUCUGCAAUCCUAGCAGGUGGACUCUCCAGAAAGAACUUUGCUACCUCUGGGAUCCUUGCCACUGAGAGUCAUGGGGUGGGUCAUGGUGGAGGGAGGACUAAGCACGCGCCUACUUAGCUAAAGGCAUCAACAGUCACCUGUGGAAUUAAGACUGAAAGAGCCAAGUCAACCCAUUCCGUCCCACUCUUUUGGAAUGGCAGUGCCACCUCUGCCAUCUGAGGCAGCAUGUGUGCCUGCCAGCACAGCUCUUGGAGGGACAGGACUUUC
Molecule: long non-coding RNA, 1375 nt
Filed under: Mus musculus (house mouse)
Lineage: Eukaryota; Metazoa; Chordata; Mammalia; Rodentia; Muridae
Description: long non-coding RNA chr9:34488732-34490107
Source: RNAcentral